CACCCUUUGGAUGUUCUCUCGGGUCACAGUGUUCGGAUUAAUUCCGCAGUGAAAAUGGAUGGGUGUAACUAUCGAGACACGUCGAUUGUUGUGAAUCAAAUCAAAGUCAAGGUUUAUCACUAUCUCAGCGACGACAUGUCGACGAGCAACCCGGAGUUGCUGGUCAGGCGACCGGUCUACCAGCAGGACGAGCUUAAUCACUUGUAUAAAUACACGAAGCCCAGCGAAACGAUUUUUCAGCACAUAUCUUCGAGGUGUCAGAAAUUCCGGUUGCUGAAUGCUGUCAAACAAUCGAUACCUUUAAUCGGUUGGCUGUCGGCGUAUAAUUGGAAGCACGACAUCUUUGGAGACAUCGUUGCUGGAAUCACCGUCGCAGUGAUGCAUAUCCCUCAAGGACUGGCGUACGCUAUACUGGGCAACGUCCCACCGAUCGUCGGGAUCUACAUGGCCUUCUUUCCCGUUUUAGUUUAUCUGUUUCUCGGCACGUCCAAACACAAUUCGAUGGGUACGUUCGCGUUGGUUUGCAUGAUGACAGGAAAAGUGGUAACGACUUACAGCACCCCAUCACAAAUCCAAAACAUCAAUAACGCUACGGAAUAUAAUGAAUCAACCACAAACUACCAAUAUUCCCCCAUCGAAGUUGCUACAGCAGUCACGUUCACCGUAGCCAUGAUAGAGCUAGCAAUGUACGUGCUACGCCUAGGAGUGAUCGCCUCCCUGCUAGCCGACAGUCUGGUCAGCGGCUUCACAACUUCGGCAGCCGUCCACGUUUUCACAUCUCAAGUCAAGGAUCUAUUGGGCCUAAGAAAUUUACCUAGCCGAAAAGGAGCCUUCAAGCUAAUCUUCACAUAUGUGGACUACUUCACCAACAUCAAAACCGCCAACUGGGUAGCUGUCGCUCUCUCAGCCUCCAUCAUCAUACUACUCAUCACCAACAAUCUCCUAAAGAAAAGAGUCGCGAGAAUAAGCCCCUUUCCAUUUCCUAUAGAAAUGUUGGCUGUCCUCAUCGGCACUAUUCUCUCGGUGCACCUGAACCUUGGGACUGAUUAUGGCCUUGCUACUGUUGGUCAUAUACCAGUCGGUUUUCCGAGUCCAACUCUCCCCUCGUUCUCGCUGAUACCGCACAUCCUCCUGGACAGCUUCAUAAUCACCAUGGUCUCCUACACAAUCACCAUGUCCAUGGCGUUGAUCUUCGCGCAGAAAUUAAACUACGAAGUGGACUCGAACCAAGAAUUAAUGGCUCAGGGUGCUGGAAACCUUGUUGGAUCCUUCUUUUCUUGUAUGCCGUUCACAGCCUCGCUGUCGAGGUCCUUGAUACAGCAGACUGUUGGAGGACACACUCAACUUGCUAGUUUAAUAUCCUGCGGACUUUUGGUCAGCGUGUUGUUGUGGAUUGGUCCUUUGUUUGAACCUCUGCCACGGUGUGUCCUAGCCAGCAUCAUAGUGGUGGCUCUAAACGGAAUGCUAAAGAAGGUGAAAGAGUUCAAGAAAUUUUGGGACCUAGACAAAAUGGACGGAGUAAUUUGGGCCGUAACAUUUAUAACCGUGAUCCUACUGGACAUUGAAUAUGGUCUUCUGGUCGGGAUAUUCUUCUGCAUAGGCAAACUCGUCCUCUUUGCAGUUCGUCCAUACACCUGCUCCCUCGGUCAAGUACCUGGCACCGAGCUGUACCUGGACAGCAAGAGAUAUAAAAGCGUAUGGAACAGUGGAGGUACCUGGUAUCAAGAUAUUCCAUUACUGUGGCAGCUUGAACUUUGCCUGCCGUCAGCAGUUUCGUGAACAGGUGUAUAAGAUUGCGGGACAUAGACCGAGGAAGAAUUUGGGACAUGAAGAGUUGAAGGAAAUUAAGGAGCUGCACACCCUAGUGCUGGACUUGAGCGCCUUAACUCACAUGGAUCUUGCGGGAGCAACGACCCUAGGAAACCUGAUCAGCGAGUAC
RNAcentral lists this unclassified non-coding RNA (1939 nucleotides) under Megachile rotundata (alfalfa leafcutting bee). Its description in RNAcentral is "solute carrier family 26 member 6-like, transcript variant X4". The record is from RNAcentral. Lineage: Eukaryota; Metazoa; Arthropoda; Insecta; Hymenoptera; Megachilidae.